UAAGGAUCUGUCUUUGAUGUGUUCAAGACUGACCACUCAACUCGCCGGGCCAGGUUAGUUUGCAUAGGCUAAACCCAGGAAUUUCUGUGUUUUUUGCACAGUUCAGGAGAACUGCUGCAGCCUGUAUUUUCCCUUCAGUACCCAAAGUAUCAGCUGAAUUCUACCAUUUUACUAAUUUCUAACAUUCACCAGCUCUAGAUCUGUAACAGUAUAUUGAUUUUGUUAACUGCAAGGAUAUAUACAAAUGUAGGAGUGUCAAGACACAGAAGUCCCCACCUGCAAUCUGAAGUGGUAUAGGCAAGUAGAAUCUCACUGCUCUUCUUGUGUGGAUAGCAUCAUUACUUAUAUAUAGCACACAUUGUCCUGAGGGAUAUCUCAGCCUGUAGACCAUAAGACUCUUUAUCUCAGGGUUGUGGAUUUGAACUCCAUGCUGGGUGAAAGAUUCCUGAAUUGCAGAGGGUUGGGCUAGAUGAUCCUUGCAAUCCCUCCCUCCCAACUCUACAAUUUUAUAGCUGUGAUAAACGAGGUUGCGCUUUUAAACUUAUCCACCACCUCCCAACAGGACUUGUUCCUGCAAGAAUUGAAAUUGCAGGAAUUAUUUUUAAUUUCACAUCUAUGCAUAUAAAUGCACAUAUGCAAACCUGUGUCCUCUUUUAUCCUUUUUUGGGGGCAAUGCGUGUAAGUGGCCACUCUAAAUUAAUCAGGGAAAACUCUGAACCGAACGUAUUCUGCCAGCUUCUCCCUCUGAGAAUUAAAUUCCUUCCCUUGCAGACCUGGAGCUCCAGAUCAAACUCUUGAAACCUUACCUAGGUCAAUUACAGCAGCAGGAGCUCUCCUGGAGUAGAAUCAAGGGGGCAGGUAAGGAGUUGGGUAACACAAUACAGGCAGAGCUGAAAUUGCUGCAGUUAAUUUCUCAUAGGAGAAGCAUUAGGAAUACAAGCCUUUCUGAAAAACAUCUCCUCUUAGAUGAAAGCCUCCUUGUUUCCGUUUCAUCUGAGACAUUUCUUCAGAAGGGGGUGGCUGUGACCCCACGUGGGUGAGGCAGAGGCCACCUGUCUUUGUGAUCAGUCCACGUGUCCCAGGCCUGGCCUCUGGGAUCAUAACAGUAGGUUUACCUCCUAGUGAUCCUUGACUCAAACCCUGUCCAUCUUAAAUGUGUUUUCACUUGAGGCAGCUGUGCAGAUGAGAGGUGUAAAUGGAAAUGUAGAGAUGCAAUGAGACUGUGAUAUGUUCUAUCACAUGCGGUGGACCUGUAAAAGGGUAAAAGAGUAUUGGGAAAUAAUUCAUAAUGAAUUGAAAAAACAACAACGUUUAAAAGUAUUUUUUUUAAAAACCAGAGUCCUAUUUGUUGGGGGUAAUUCAGAAGGAAAUUCCCAGGUGUCCACAAAGGUUAUUUAUGUAUGAUGCUACUGUGGCCCCUGUUUUGUUAGCCCCAAAAUGGAAAACGGGCAAAGUCCGAGCUGAAGAAGAAUGACAACUUAAAGUGAUGGAAUAUGUGCAGCUUGCAGACCUAACAUAUAGAAUAUGAGAACAAGAAGAACAUAGGUUUAAAGAAGAUUGGAAGAUUUUUAUUGAAUAUAUGGGGGGAAAUUGUGUACAUCUGAAAACUUGGGCAGCAUUAAGAUAAAUUCAACAGUGUAAAUACCAUAAGUUUUGAUGGAUGUAAUACGUAAUGGAACACUGAAUAGUUUAGUUUACGUAAAAUAUGCAGGGAUUUAUGUUAUGCAAAAUGAACCAUGGGAAGAGAAGAUGGGAAGUCAUUGAUAUUUUAAGGUUGUUUAAGUGAAUAUCCUAAAAUGUAAAACAGAAAAUUUAAUAACAAUUAUAGGGAAAAGAAAAUGCAAAUGUAGACAUAACUAUUACAAUAUAAAGUGGCAUCGCAGAUCAUUAGUUGCAAAGAGGUGACCUACUAAGUUUGCUUUAGCGCCUCCUAUGUGCUCUUCCUUCUUAGGGUUCUUUAAACCAGCCUCAGACCGGACAGCCCUUCCAAUGGGGAGCUCCUUCAAACAGUCCUCUGUAAGGUAGGACUCACGGCUGCCUGGUGCUGCAGGCAGGUAUGGGGCACGUGCCACAGCUUGAACCCACAAAACUGCCCUUGGGUGCAGUUGAGGACGCUGGUCUAUUGCCAACAUUGAAGUAAGAUUCAGCUGCCAGUUCUGGACAGUUUCUGGACUCGGAAGGGGAGCAAGUGCCCGAAGGCCUCUUCAGUCGGUUCUCAUUCCACCACCACCCCUGUCCAGUUCUCUCUGCCAUCUUGGAUUUUCCUCUUGGUUCAUUGGUCAGUUUGAUGGGCCCCAUCCUACUUGAUUCUUCUUUGGUCUCGCAGCCUGCCAUGCAUGGAGGAAGGGAGAAGGCUACUCUUGGCUACCCAAGGCAGGGUGACACAGGAGAAUGACUCUUUUGGGACAGCAGGCAGCUGCGGCUUGAAGCAUGCUGACCCCUGGAGGAUUUUGCAGACCCUACACUCCCUUCUCCUUGCAGGACAGCAGCUCCAGCAAAUAACUGGGCGAUGGAUUGCAGGUAGAGGUGACUUGCUUCCAUUCCUCGGGAACUUUGGAUUCAGGAUACACAAUGGAGUGGAAAUACACAUCUGAUCCACGAAUGCAACAGCUGCUAGGCUUUAUUCCGUUGAACCCUACAAAGAACUUGGCUGCUUUGUUCAAUGGAGCAAUUGCCAAAUUGCAUUGUUUGUUGUGAAUUGCAUUGGCCCUUUUUGUCCAAAAGCGGUCAGGACGAACAACAAGGACGUUUCCCUUGUCUUGCCACCUGUCACAACAACCUUUAAGUUCUCCCCCGCUCCAAACACCUGCCUGUAGUACCGAUUCUAACAAUGCUGACUCUACAGCACCUGUCAAGGUUUAUUGUACCGCAUUCUUUGUACAGCAAAGAAUGAGAAAUCCGGAAUAAGUAAAGUGAUACUUUGAUGUUUGGAAAGCUUUACAGAUUGGCGGAAGUGUGCGAGCCUCUGAUUCGGACAGAAUUCUGAGCUGGAUGUUUGCAUGAACUUCUUUCAUCUUUGCAGAGGGGUACCAGAGGGUGAGGUUCAGUUCAGGACCAGCUCCAGAUUUAAGGCUCAGUGCUUUAUAGAAAGCCCCUUCUAUAUUUGCACGUCACCAGUCAUCGCCUUUUUAAAUCCCCACAAUUUCGCAGAAUGCCUGGGUUAUUUUUGUUGUUGUUGUUUGUUUGUUUAUAUAAGAUUAAGAUAGUUUGCAAAGUUCAAAAACCCAUUCCAUAGACAUUAAAAUACGAGCAUCCAUAAUUAAAAUACACAAUAAAGUAAUCCCAUGAAAAGCCAUAGUUUAAUCCAUAAUUAAAAUGUGUGUGCACGCACACGCACAUUACAGUAAUUAAAAAAGAGGAGAUUCUGGUCAAAAGAUCAAGGGAAUGCCUGUGUAAAACAUCCUUAGAAGCCAGCAGAAUGUCCAUGGAAUGUCUCCUGCCCACCCAUGAGGCCAGGUGAGGUGAUGGGCUCAGGCGACAGGGUCCCCGGGGCAGCAGGUCCUUGUUUCAUCUUUCUCUCCCCACUCCCACUCUGUCAGUGCUU
This 3544-nucleotide long non-coding RNA is filed under the name Podarcis lilfordi (Lilford's wall lizard). The record is from RNAcentral. Lineage: Eukaryota; Metazoa; Chordata; Lepidosauria; Squamata; Lacertidae.